RNAcentral lists this transfer RNA (65 nucleotides) under Cryptonema producta. Its description in RNAcentral is "tRNA-Val". Lineage: Eukaryota; Metazoa; Mollusca; Bivalvia; Venerida; Veneridae. The record is from RNAcentral.
CGAGAAAUAGCAUAAAUAAGUGUGUUUUGCUUACAACAAAAAGGUGGAAAAAUUUCCUUUCUUGU